This 253-nucleotide ribosomal RNA is filed under the name uncultured bacterium. Its description in RNAcentral is "partial 16S ribosomal RNA". It matches the Rfam family "Bacterial small subunit ribosomal RNA", at positions 524 to 776 of the family's 1533-position model. The record is from RNAcentral.
UACGUAGGGUGCGAGCGUUGUCCGGAAUUAUUGGGCGUAAAGAGCUCGUAGGCGGCUUGUCGCGUCGGAUGUGAAAGCCCGGGGCCUAACCCUGGGUCUGCAUUCGAUACGGGCAGGCUAGAGUUCGGUAGGGGAGAUCGGAAUUCCUGGUGUAGCGGUGAAAUGCGCAGAUAUCAGGAGGAACACCGGUGGCGAAGGCGGAUCUCUGGGCCGAUACUGACGCUGAGGGGCGAAAGCGUGGGGAGCAAACAGG